UGGGGAAUAUUGCACAAUGGGCGAAAGCCUGAUGCAGCAACGCCGCGUGAGUGAUGAAGGCCUUCGGGUUGUAAAGCUCUGUCUUUUGGGACGAUAAUGACGGUACCAAAGGAGGAAGCCACGGCUAACUACGUGCCAGCAGCCGCGGUAAUACGUAGGUGGCAAGCGUUGUCCGGACUUACUGGGCGUAAAGGAUGCGUAGGCGGAUUUUUAAGUGAGAUGUGAAAUACCCGGGCUUAACUUGGGUGCUGCAUUUCAAACUGGGAAUCUAGAGUGCGGGAGAGGAGAAUGGAAUUCCUAGUGUAGCGGUGAAAUGCGUAGAGAUUAGGAAGAACACCAGUGGCGAAGGCGAUUCUCUGGACCGUAACUGACGCUGAGGCAUGAAAGCGUGGGUAGCAAACAGGAUUAGAUACCCUGGUAGUCCACGCCGUAAACGAUGAGUACUAGGUGUAGGAGGUAUCGACCCCUUCUGUGCCGCAGUUAACACAAUAAGUACUCCGCCUGGGAAGUACGAUCGCAAGAUUAAAAAC
Molecule: ribosomal RNA, 530 nt
Filed under: uncultured bacterium
Lineage: Bacteria
Description: partial 16S ribosomal RNA
Rfam family: Bacterial small subunit ribosomal RNA
Source: RNAcentral